Molecule: ribosomal RNA, 229 nt
Filed under: uncultured bacterium
Lineage: Bacteria
Description: partial 16S ribosomal RNA
Rfam family: Bacterial small subunit ribosomal RNA
Source: RNAcentral
CGCGUAGGCGGACUUGUGGGUCCGAUGUGAAAGCCCGGGGCUCAACCCCGGAAGUGCAUUGGAAACUACAAGUCUUGAGUUUGGGAGAGGAGAGCAGAAUUCCCGGUGUAGGGGUGGAAUCCGUAGAUAUCGGGAGGAAAACCAGUGGCGAAGGCGGCUCUCUGGAACAUAACUGACGCUGAGGCGCGAAAGCGUGGGGAGCAAACAGGAUUAGAUACCCUGGUAGUCC